RNAcentral lists this ribosomal RNA (253 nucleotides) under uncultured bacterium. Its description in RNAcentral is "partial 16S ribosomal RNA". It matches the Rfam family "Bacterial small subunit ribosomal RNA", at positions 524 to 776 of the family's 1533-position model. The record is from RNAcentral.
UACGUAGGGUGCGAGCGUUAAUCGGAAUUACUGGGCGUAAAGCGUGCGCAGGCGGUUUUGUAAGCCAGAUGUGAAAUCCCCGGGCUCAACCUGGGAAUUGCAUUUGAGACUGCGUAGCUAGGGUGCGGAAGAGGGAAGCGGAAUUUCCGGUGUAGCGGUGAAAUGCGUAGAUAUCGGAAGGAACACCAGUGGCGAAAGCGGCUUCCUGGUCCAGCACCGACGUUCAGGCACGAAAGCGUGGGGAGCAAACAGG